RNAcentral lists this ribosomal RNA (475 nucleotides) under uncultured organism. Its description in RNAcentral is "partial 16S ribosomal RNA". It matches the Rfam family "Bacterial small subunit ribosomal RNA", at positions 335 to 801 of the family's 1533-position model. The record is from RNAcentral.
ACUCCUACGGGAGGCAGCAGUGGGGAAUAUUGCACAAUGGGCGCAAGCCUGAUGCAGCCAUGCCGCGUGUAUGAAGAAGGCCUUCGGGUUGUAAAGUACUUUCAGCGGGGAGGAAGGCGAUAAGGUUAAUAACCUUGUUGAUUGACGUUACCCGCAGAAGAAGCACCGGCUAACUCCGUGCCAGCAGCCGCGGUAAUACGGAGGGUGCAAGCGUUAAUCGGAAUUACUGGGCGUAAAGCGCACGCAGGCGGUCUGUCAAGUCGGAUGUGAAAUCCCCGGGCUCAACCUGGGAACUGCAUUCGAAACUGGCAGGCUAGAGUCUUGUAGAGGGGGGUAGAAUUCCAGGUGUAGCGGUGAAAUGCGUAGAGAUCUGGAGGAAUACCGGUGGCGAAGGCGGCCCCCUGGACAAAGACUGACGCUCAGGUGCGAAAGCGUGGGGAGCAAACAGGAUUAGAAACCCCUGUAGUCCCAUGAU